CCGAGUCAGAAGAGAGCUAAAAUGGCGGAGGUUGUGAGUCCCUGCUUUGACUCUGUUUGCAAACUCUUGUUUCAUUGUUUAAGCGAUUAAAUCUCUCGAGUAGACGCUGUCUCUUUAGAUGCGAGGGCAAAAUAGCACUUUAUGGACUUCCACAGAGGACAUCAUGUUUAAUACGGUUCCGGAAAAAUCCAGUCAGAAGUUGUUCACGGAGUUUUCACAAUAACUGCUUCUCAUGAACCGAAGCUGGAUUUGCACGACGUCUCCUCUUGAAAGUUGGAUUACUGUGCACUUCUGGAUCACAGACUAUUCGCAGCUGUACACAUCCUUCUACACUGUAUGCAAACAUGCAACAUCAUUACACACAGUACAAGGAGUCAGACUGGCAUAUGAGGAGCAAAGGAACCCAGGCAGUAGCAUCUUUUCACAAUGUUUCCAUCACCAUCAUCAGUGGAUGCCUUUGCCGUCCGUAGCCUGAGAUUUCAGAUUUGCAGCAAAAAAAAUUUGAUUUUCUCAUUUAUUGGAAUGCUGUGCAGGUAUUUGUACCUUGCAGCCAUCCAUUACAAUGUCACCAAGCCGUAACAAAAGCAGGAGAGGAAAAGUACAAGGCUAUGUUCCCAAAACACACAAGUGACAUACCUUAUGUGGAUGAUGUGAUCAGGCUUGUGUUUGCUGAGGUAUUUGAAGAUAAGCUGAAGGAAACCCCGAUUCCAAUGGACCUGGCAUCACAGUUUGAGAGACCUUCAAAGGAGGACGUGAUUGCAUGCCAUCUUCAGUGCAGGGGUCGUCGAAAGCCAAAAUUGUGACCGAUCUGAUCAGGAAGCUCCAAGCGUAUCUGGAGAACAACACACGACAGGAUGAUAACCUUAUAGUGUCGUCUUAAAUAGCACCAGCUGACAAAGCUUUGAUAUGCCAUUUAUCUGAAUAGAUAGCUGUAAGAAAUGAAUUGAACAAUUUUUGAAACAAGAGCACAAUAUGGUUACUAAAGUAUGUUUAUUUGUAUAUUGUUUAACAUUUAAAUAUAUAUUUGUAAUAAAUAAAAAAAAACUUU
This is a long non-coding RNA of Paramisgurnus dabryanus, 1048 nucleotides long. RefSeq lists it as uncharacterized. The record is from RefSeq and is a predicted model, not a curated record. Lineage: Eukaryota; Metazoa; Chordata; Actinopteri; Cypriniformes; Cobitidae.